Molecule: long non-coding RNA, 324 nt
Organism: Myotis myotis
Lineage: Eukaryota; Metazoa; Chordata; Mammalia; Chiroptera; Vespertilionidae
Exons: 2
Source: RefSeq, a predicted model, not a curated record
UUUAUAUUUUUGAUAUUUAUUUUAUAUAUUUAAAUGCCAUUUAACAAAGAAAAAUCAACCAAAAAAAUGAGUUCUCGUGUCACCUCUGACACGCGUGUCAUAGGUUCGCCAUCACUGCUCUAGACCCACAUUUCUACACAUUACAGGACAGCCCCACCAGGAGGCCGCGUAGAUAAGAACACUAGCUCUGAAGAGGUGGCCAUGAUCACCCAGAAAGUAAGAAAUGAAGCCAGAAUUCUGUACACUUCAUUGCUUGGCUCAAGGAUGCAGGCCCAUGGUGGAUAGAGCCGGGUCUUAUUCAUUAAAUGUACGCUGGAUACUGAA